RNAcentral lists this ribosomal RNA (153 nucleotides) under Enterococcus faecalis. RNAcentral describes it as "partial 16S ribosomal RNA". It matches the Rfam family "Bacterial small subunit ribosomal RNA", at positions 1390 to 1533 of the family's 1533-position model. The record is from RNAcentral. Lineage: Bacteria; Bacillati; Bacillota; Bacilli; Lactobacillales; Enterococcaceae.
CCGCCCGUCACACCACGAGAGUUUGUAACACCCGAAGUCGGUGAGGUAACCUUUUUGGAGCCAGCCGCCUAAGGUGGGAUAGAUGAUUGGGGUGAAGUCGUAACAAGGUAGCCGUAUCGGAAGGUGCGGCUGGAUCACCUCCUUUCUAAGGAA